RNAcentral lists this long non-coding RNA (5388 nucleotides) under Sus scrofa (pig). RNAcentral's name for it is "lncRNA (ENSSSCG00000058916.1)". The record is from RNAcentral. Lineage: Eukaryota; Metazoa; Chordata; Mammalia; Artiodactyla; Suidae.
CUCCUGGGUUCAAAGAGUUUAUAGUCUGGUGGAAGACCAAGAGCUAGGUUAGAAGGCCUCAUACACUACGCUCCACCCACUGCAGGUAUUACAGAUGUUUUUAAAAUAUGGAACUGUUCUGGCCCUCUAAAAAUAAAAGGGAGAAGUCACAUGGACAUUGAAAUGCAGAGAAAAGAGUAUCCUCAAGCAGCCUCCUCAGCUAUAGCCCAAGGGAUAGAAAACUUAAAAAAAAAAAAAAAAGACUAAGUGUGUUACUCUUGGUGAAAGAUGUCUGGCAGGUAGAAUUGUCAAAAAUUUAUAGAAUGUAAAUACCAAGAGGGAUGGGAAUGCUCUUGAACUUGCAAUCAAGUUGGGAGUAAUGGAAUAAAGAAGACCAUCUCUAAGACAUUUUACUAUGAAGAUUUAUUAAAGUAUGAAAAAAUCCUAGUCCCAAAGGCAUCUCUGCUUGCAACAAUUAAGGUAGAAAGAUCUAAAGUCAAUUCACAAUUUUAAAUAGAAAUACGGGUUGCAGAAAACAUAAGUGAAUUUUAUCAUCAUCAUCUCCAAACCACAUUUUUACUAAAGCUUCCAACCUCCUUCCUUGACCUUCUAAAAAUACGAAUUUGCAUUUCUUGGAUAAUUUCUAUUGAGUCUAAGAGUCAUUUUCUUGUGGGAAAAGUGGAUGCCUUCUGUUUCUCACAGGCAGAACCAUGAUUUCUUUUAAGGACAGAGAGAAGCUCUUUAACUGAGAGAAUUCCCUCCUUCCCCACGCGUGUUCUAUCUCUCACGGAGAGCAGAUGAAUCAUGGGGGAAGUUUUCUGGCAAAAUAAAAGGAACAAUGGUCAUCAUGUACUGAGUAUCUGCCAUGUCCUAAGUACUGUUGUAAGGGCUUUAAUACAUGUGUCAUUUAAUCUUCACAGCAACCCUAGGAGAUAGGCAUUCUUAUUGACUCAUUUUAUGGAUAAAGAAACCAAGGCUUCCAUGGCGGAAUGGUUAUAUAUGCUCUAGUAUAUUCCUAAACUUAAAUAUUAUGCAGCCCCUACAAAAAAUAUUUUCACAAAAUUUUUGUGUACGUGAGUUUAUAAUUAAAGUAUAUAAUAAUUAAGUUCUCAAUUUCCAAUGUGCCACUGGAAAAUAUAUUCCAAAAUGCUAAUAAUAAUUAGAUUGAGUCAUAGAAUUAUGGAUGAUUUUGUAUACUUUUCUAUACAUAGCUUUUAAAAAUUAAAAAAGUAACAAAAAUAAAAAUUUGGUUUUUAGAGGAAAAAGUUAUAUCCAGGAAGUACAACCAAAAAGGCAUAGCAUUUAAAAUACAAGAACAUUAAUUUCUGGCUGGCAAUUCUUAGGAUGGUUUCAUGAAAAAGAUAACAUUUGAUGCAGACACUGAAAAAUAAAUAGGAUUUAACACAGAUCUAGACAGGAAACAAAGCAGAAGAGGGACACAUUCCAAGCAGAGAAGGGUGGAGCAAGAUUGAUAAAAAUUGGAGGCAUGCUAAAGGAAGCUGAGAGAAAAGACCCAAAACAGAUAAAAGCCAGUUUGAAAAUGCUACAGCAUACUUGGUUAAGGAUUUUGGAGUUUGAUAGACAAUGGCAAACUUCUGAAGGUUUUUUGGUAGGGCAGUGCCAUGAUCAAAGAAAUGCUUUAGACCUUCUUCUGUCAGGUUAUAUGCAGAAGGAAUGGUAGAUGCAAGGGAGUACAGACAGGAGGAAUAAUUAGAGAGUCAUUGAACUAAUUUAGGCCUAAGAUCAUAGGGCUAGAAUUAGCCUGAUGGCAGUGGAAAUGACAAGGGAGGAAGAGAUGGAGCAGUUCCCCUCUCCGCCUCUCCAGCCUAACUCCCCACUCCUGCUCCUCUUAUGCCAUCCACUUCAGAUACUCUGGCCUGUUCCUAGAAGGAGCUAAAGGACUUCUUGUCCAGGGUCCUGCUCCUUCAACCCUUCUCCUUCUGACACUUUUGUUCUUAUUCCAUCAUUUGGGUUUCAGCCUAAAUAUUUCUUGCAGGAGUAUUGCCCUGGUCCAGUCUAGAUUAGGUUUUCCUGUUUCACUUCCUGUUAAGCACCCUGCACUUUUUUUUUUCAUUGUUUUUACCAUAAUAAGUAGCUAAAACUAAUAUUUAUUUUAAGUUUAUGACAUCAGUUACUAUGUUAGAUCCUUUAAAAGUAUUAGCUCAUUUAAUUUUCAAAGUAAGUAUUAAUAUUAUCCACUAUUUUCUAGGUAAGGAAACUAAAGAUUAGAGAGGUAGUUAUGGAUUCCGGGAGUGACUGCUCUCACCUACCACAUGUACUAGGUUACGAGCAGGGGGAGGUAAUUUGAUAUGGUGACCAUCAAAAGGAGCAUGGAAUCUAGAGUCAGACUGCUUGGGCUAUUUUCUUAGCUCUGCCACUUACUAGGUGUAAGACCCCUGGCGCAAGUUCUUUAAUUCCUCUUGAUCUCAAUUUCCCCAUCUGUAAAAUGGAGGGGGGGGGAUAUUAUUGCCUCUCUCACAGAGUUCUUACAAGGAUGAAAUGAAUUAAUGACUUAGAACAAGAUUGGCACAUAAUAAGUGUAACAUAUCUGAAAACGAUUAUUGGUUGUGUUAUAAUUUGUUAAAAACCUGUCCUCCCAUCUCUUCGGAAAGAGGUAGAAACUGUGUUUAUCAUUGUACUGACAAGUGUCUAGCACAGUACCUGGCCACGGUGUUUGGCAAAUAUCUGAAUGAAUGUUUGGUAAAUAUUUGAAUGAAUGAAUGAACAAAUGGAAAUCUUAGUUCAGAGAGCUUAUCGAACAGCACCAUCAUGCACUUUAAAAUUUAUGAUGCAGGUUUUUAUUAUUAUUUUAUUUAAUUCUAACCACAAACUCAAAGAAGACAGUGAAGGAACUAUCAUCCUCACUGCUGAGUCUCAGAAAACUGUUAGCUUAAAUUCAUAUAGCUAGUAAAUAGUAGAGCCAAGAAGAACCCAGAUCUCUGACUGCCUGAGGCCACAGGGUGCCUUAAAGGCAACCCAGGUGAGAUUCACUGCAUAUGGGAAGUGAACCAAUGGCCAUUGACUGAUGAUGCUCUCCUGAGUUGCCCCAGGUCUGAGCCCUGGCCAUUCUAUGAAUCCUAAAAACCUAACUACUGCCUCAGCUUUAUUCUGUAUUCCUGUUGGAGGUACUUGAUGGCCUUUCCUUGUCCAAGCAUCUCUUACUGACCCCACUGCUCAUCCCAAAUCUAAGUGAAGUAUCACAGACCAAGGCUAACACCAACCUAGAGUGCUUUAAUUGGACUAUAUAACAAGGUAGAAUUGAGAAAAAAGAAAUUAAAUGAGUUAACUGGGUUACAAGCCCGGUGAACCAGUAGAAUGGUAGUCGCAUUAACACAAAUGGACAAUAUAGAAAUAGUUUGUUUUAAAGAAUAUAGAAUCUAUUCAACAUUAGACUUAAGUUUGGGAUGUCAGUAAGGACUCUAAGUAAACAAUGGAUAUCUAGCAAUUAGAAGUGGAAUUAGGAUUCAAAAGAGAUGUCAAUAUAGAACUGUAGAGAUCAUCUGUGACAAAGGAAUGGAAGAAGCCAAAGAACCUUGAUCCCGCACAACAUUAGUGCAGGGCUUUUCAAACUAUGAUAUGUAGCAUUCCUCAGAGAGGCAUUAGAGUCCAGCCGCCUAGGCUUUGAACCUCAGCAUAGGGCCAUAUUUAUCUGAUUUAUAUUGAAUUUCAGCGUCAGAGUUUGCUUAAUAAAAUCAAAUUUUGCAGCUAAAGAAAUGUUUGAAGUACUGAUUUAGUAGGUAUUCUCUGUCCAUGUCCAACUACAUCUGCUUCUUACAGCAUCUCUGUCCCUGCACAGAUAGAGACAUGGCAGGGAAAAACCGUUAACUUGAAUUUAGUUCUGAUAGUGAACAAGCACUCAGCACCAGGGACUAACUGAAUAAUAUUCAUGUGACUCAUGUAUGAUUUAGAAAACAUUUUGAUGUUUAGGUCAGUUCCAAUUCAAUGAAUUAGUUACAGGUUCAAACUGUUCACUAGGGUUUAAUUAAAUUAAAAAAAAACUUUCUCAGUUCAGAAAAAAAUAAAAAUAAUAAUGAUUUGAUUUAAGGCUCAGCAAAUUUGUGUAAUUCAUUCCAAGUUUUCCCUCAUGGUUUGCCUCUGCACCAACUAUAGAGGAAAAUGCCCUGUAAAUAUCUAUGAAUCAAUGCUGGUGGACUAUAUUCAAGGCCUCCACUUAAAAUGACAUGUCAGAGCCAUCUAUGUCACGGGGUAAAUCCCCAGCUAGCUCUUUCCUUUAGUGCUGGGCAAGACGUAGGUCUAGUUUCAUAGGUAGAAGACUUGCCCGGCUCUCCUGAGAAGAGGUCCCAGAUCACAGGAUACCCAAAAGACAAGUGCAUCACGGGGAUGAGAAAUUACAUUAGACACAGCUGCCCCUUCAGAGCCUCAAGUUUCACAUGGAUUAGCACCUACUUGUUAUUUCUCUCUAGGCCCAAUUCCCAGAUCUAUUAGUUCACCCAAGGCCCCUUAUCCAUAGGAGACAUGAAUUAUGCCAGGGCAAAUUUAAACUGCCACAAGCAUUCAAGUAAGGGCAGAUCCUGGCUUUCCUUCAGUCAAGCCUUAGAGAAUUAAAAAUAAUAAUAAAAUCUGCUUCCAGUUGAUCUAUUUCUUUUUACCUCUUGAUUAGUUGAUAUCCAGCCCAUGAAAACCUCAAUUUUUAAAAAAUGUUUCUCAUUAUUGCCUUGGUUUUUUGAAAAUACUCAAAUUCAUUUUGCAGCUGCAAAAUGUCUUCGCUAAAACCUCUAACUAAAGAAAAUGGUUGAAUUCCCCUGUGGAAAAUGUAUGAUGUUGCUAGAGUCAGUUUCCUCAUUUUAAACAUAUUCAUUGAGACAUACACCAUUUAUUCAGUGUGAUCCAUUUGACCUCUAUGUUAGCAAUUUACAUAAUACCUUGAAUUGGUGAUGGUGGGUCAGGGGCUUUCAAAAGAAAUCAUAUAGCUUUCCAUUGUCUAACUUAUGCCAAUAGCCUUACCAGGAACAAAGAAAACAUGCUUCUGCAAAGGAGGCUAUGUAUUAUUAUGAGGCCUAGAAGAGUCUGAAAUCAGGGAGAAGGGGUGGGGCCAAGACUCAGACAGCCUUGAGUUCAAAUCCCAGCUCUUCACCUCCUUGGUAGGCAAACUUGAGCAAGUCAUUUAACUUUUCUGAACCUGUUUCAAAAUGGACUAUCAUGCAGUUCCCAUCGUGGCGCAGUGGUUAACGAAUCUGACUAGGAACCAUGAGGUUGCAGGUUCAGUCCCUGCCCUUGCUCAGUGGGCUGACGAUCCAGCGUUGCCGUGAGCUGUGGUGUAGGUUGCAGACGCAGCUCGGAUCCCACGUUGCUAUGGCUCUGGAGUAGGCCGGUGGCUACAGCUCCGAUUGGACCCCUAGCCUGGGAAUCUCCAUAUGCCGCGGGAGCGGCCCAAGAAAGAGCAAAAAG